Molecule: ribosomal RNA, 468 nt
Filed under: uncultured bacterium
Lineage: Bacteria
Description: partial 16S ribosomal RNA
Rfam family: Bacterial small subunit ribosomal RNA (bases 20-328)
Source: RNAcentral
GACGAACGCUGGCGGCGUGCUUAACACAUGCAAGUCGAACGGAAAGGCCCUGCUUUUGUGGGGUGCUCGAGUGGCGAACGGGUGAGUAACACGUGAGUAACCUGCCCUUGACUUUGGGAUAACUUCAGGAAACUGGGGCUAAUACCGGAUAGGAGCUCCUGCUGCAUGGUGGGGGUUGGAAAGUUUCGGCGGUUGGGGAUGGACUCGCGGCUUAUCAGCUUGUUGGUGGGGUAGUGGCUUACCAAGGCUUUGACGGGUAGCCGGCCUGAGAGGGUGACCGGCAGAAUGGGGACUGGUGUAGGCCAAAGACCCACGGGGGGGCAGGGGGGGGGAAUGAUGGAAAAAGGGGGGGAGGCUGGAUGCAGAAGCGGCGGGUGGGGGAGCGGGGCUUUGGGGUUGAAAACCGCUUUCGCCGGUGACGAAGGGGGGGGGAGGGUAGGGGAUAAAGAGACACGGACAAGCUACGUC